CGGCGGACGGGUGAGUAACACGUGGGUAACCUACCUAUAAGACUGGGACAACUUCGGGAAACCGGAGCUAAUACCGGAUAAGAUAUCGAACCGCAUGGUUCGAUAGUGAAAGAUGGUUUUGCUAUCACUUAUAGAUGGACCCGCGCCGUAUUAGCUAGUUGGUGAGGUAACGGCUCACCAAGGCAACGAUACGUAGCCGACCUGAGAGGGUGAUCGGCCACACUGGAACUGAGACACGGUCCAGACUCCUACCGGGAGGCAGCAGCG
RNAcentral lists this ribosomal RNA (267 nucleotides) under uncultured Staphylococcus sp. RNAcentral's name for it is "partial 16S ribosomal RNA". It matches the Rfam family "Bacterial small subunit ribosomal RNA", at positions 96 to 356 of the family's 1533-position model. The record is from RNAcentral. Lineage: Bacteria; Bacillati; Bacillota; Bacilli; Caryophanales; Staphylococcaceae.